UACGUAGGGGGCAAGCGUUAUCCGGAUUUACUGGGUGUAAAGGGCGUGUAGCCGGGUUGGCAAGUCAGAUGUGAAAACUAUGGGCUCAACUCAUAACGUGCAUUUGAAACUGUUGAUCUUGAGUAUCGGGGAGGCAAUCGGAAUUCCUAGUGUAGCGGUGAAAUGCGUAGAUAUUAGGAGGAACACCAGUGGCGAGGGCGGAUUGCUGGACGACAACUGACGGUGAGGCGCGAAAGCGUGGGGAGCAAAC
This 250-nucleotide ribosomal RNA is filed under the name uncultured prokaryote. RNAcentral's name for it is "partial 16S ribosomal RNA". It matches the Rfam family "Bacterial small subunit ribosomal RNA", at positions 524 to 773 of the family's 1533-position model. The record is from RNAcentral.